Molecule: ribosomal RNA, 492 nt
Filed under: uncultured bacterium
Lineage: Bacteria
Description: partial 16S ribosomal RNA
Rfam family: Bacterial small subunit ribosomal RNA
Source: RNAcentral
AGCGAACGCUGGCGGCAUGCUUAACACAUGCAAGUCGAACGGCAGCACACUAAGAGUUUGCUCUUACGGGUGGCGAGUGGCGGACGGGAGAGGAAUAUAACGUAACCUACUUUUUCGUGGGGGAUAACGUAGGGAAAGUUACGCUAAUACCGCAUACGACCUUCGGUUGAAAGCAGGGGAUCUUCGGACCUUGUGCGAUUGAAUGAGCCGAUGUGGGAUUAGUUAGUUGGGGGGGUAAAGGCCCACCAAGGCGACGAUCCGUAGAUGGUCUGAGAGGAUGGUCGGCCACACUGGAGCUGAGACACGGUCCAGACUCCUACGGUAGGCAGCAGUGGGGAAUAUUGGGCAAUGGGCGCAAGCCUGAUCCAGCCAUGCCGCGUGGGUGAAGAAGGCCUUCGGUUUGUAAAGCCCUUUUGUUGGGAAAGAAAAGCUGCCGGUUAAUACCCCGCUGUAGUGACGGUACCCAAAGAAUAAGCACCGGCUAACUACGUG